GAGGGUAUGGCUUAGUGGCAGAGCGCAUGCUUAGCACGCCCGAGGUCCUGGGUUCAAUUCUCAGUACCUCCC
This 72-nucleotide transfer RNA is filed under the name Camelus bactrianus (Bactrian camel). It matches the Rfam family "tRNA". Rfam says of the family: Transfer RNA (tRNA) molecules are approximately 80 nucleotides in length. Their secondary structure includes four short double-helical elements and three loops (D, anti-codon, and T loops). Lineage: Eukaryota; Metazoa; Chordata; Mammalia; Artiodactyla; Camelidae. RNAcentral also lists the same sequence under 2 other names. The record is from Rfam by way of RNAcentral.